CCCUUCGGGGCGAAGAUAAGACGGAUUAGCGGCGGACGGGUGAGUAACACGUGAGUAACCUGCCUUUUACACAGGGAUAGCCUCGGGAAACCGGGAUUAAAACCUGAUGAAACUAUCAAAUCACAUGAUUAAGAAAGUUAAAACUCCGGUGGUAAAAGAUGGACUCGCGUCCCAUUAGCUAGUUGGUGAAGGUAACGGCCCACCAAGGCAACGAUGGGUAGCCGGCCUGAGAGGGUGAACGGCCACAUUGGAACUGAGAAACGGUCCAAACUCCUACGGGAGGCAGCAGCC
This 291-nucleotide ribosomal RNA is filed under the name uncultured Peptoniphilus sp. RNAcentral describes it as "partial 16S ribosomal RNA". It matches the Rfam family "Bacterial small subunit ribosomal RNA", at positions 76 to 355 of the family's 1533-position model. The record is from RNAcentral. Lineage: Bacteria; Bacillati; Bacillota; Tissierellia; Tissierellales; Peptoniphilaceae.